Molecule: ribosomal RNA, 696 nt
Filed under: uncultured bacterium
Lineage: Bacteria
Description: bacterial SSU rRNA
Rfam family: Bacterial small subunit ribosomal RNA
Source: RNAcentral
AACGCUAGCUACAGGCUUAACACAUGCAAGUCGAGGGGAAACGAUAUUGGAAGCUUGCUUCCGAUAGGCGUCGACCGGCGCACGGGUGAGUAACGCGUAUCCAACCUGCCCAUCACUUGGGAAUAACCUUGCGAAAGUAAGACUAAUGCCCAAUGACAUUUAUAGAAGGCAUCUGAAAUGAAUUAAAGAUUUAUCGGUGAUGGAUGGGGAUGCGUCUGAUUAGCUUGUUGGCGGGGUAACGGCCCACCAAGGCGACGAUCAGUAGGGGUUCUGAGAGGAAGGUCCCCCACAUUGGAACUGAGACACGGUCCAAACUCCUACGGGAGGCAGCAGUGAGGAAUAUUGGUCAAUGGGCGAGAGCCUGAACCAGCCAAGUAGCGUGCAGGAAGACGGCCCUAUGGGUUGUAAACUGCUUUUAUAGGGGAAUAAAGUGAGCCACGUGUGGUUUUUUGCAUGUACCCUAUGAAUAAGGACCGGCUAAUUCCGUGCCAGCAGCCGCGGUAAUACGGAAGGUCCGGGCGUUAUCCGGAUUUAUUGGGUUUAAAGGGAGCGUAGGCCGUCGUUUAAGCGUGUUGUGAAAUGCCGCGGCUCAACCGUGGCACUGCAGCGCGAACUGGAUGACUUGAGUUCGCGGGAGGUAGGCGGAAUUCGUGGUGUAGCGGUGAAAUGCUUAGAUAUCACGAAGAACUCCGAUUG